CCUACUGUUUUUGUCCUUCGCCUCGGUCAAACUUCUCUAAAUUGGCAUUGUAGCUUAAACCCUGCUUAAAACCAAAGCCCAUUAAAACCGUCCUCAAAUUAGAGAGGAGCUCCAACAAUGUCGAAGAAGAAGCUACUGACUCCUCUCUCCUCUCUUCUCCUCCUCCGACGAACCCUAACUUCCACCCCUCAUUUCUCAAUCCCACACUUCCAAUCCCGCACCAAUUUCUCCCCCAAUAUCGAAAAGCUCCGCCCCCUUUUCCCGCUCCCCGGAUUUGAUUUUCCCGGCAAAUCUUUCAUCUCCUCCCAAUUUGGGGACAAACCCAAUUCCCCCCACUGCUGGAACUGCAGCGCUGCCGCUCAAACGACGCCGUUUCUGCUCUGCUCCUCCUGUCGGUGCAUCCAACCCGUCGAUCACUCCGUCGAUUACUUUCAGAUAUUUGGACUGGAGAGGAAGUAUGAUAGUGUGGAGGAACAUCUGGAGGGAAAAUAUAAGGAUUGGCAGAAAAAGUUGCACCCUGAUCUUGUUCAUUCAAAAUCAGAGAAGGAGAGAGAGUACGCUGCUGAACAGUCUGCUCGGGUGAUUGAUGCAUACCGCACGCUUAGCAAGCCCUUGGCGAGGGCAAUAUAUAUUCUGAAGCUUGAAGGUGUAGACAUCGAUGAAGAAGAGACACUUUCAGACUUAGAUUUGUUAAGUGAGAUUAUGGAAGUAAGGGAAGCUGUUGAAGAGGCUCCCAACUCUCAGGCUUUAAAUCAGAUUCAGUCUCUGAUGCAAGAGAAACUUAAGCAGUGGUCUAAUUCUUUUGCCGAGGCAUUUGAAAGCCGGAACUUUGAAGAAGCUGUGAAAGCUAUCCGGCGAAUGACUUACUAUGAGCGUGUAAAUGAAGAAAUUGUAAAGAGGCAAUGAAGGCUGGGGCGUGUGAGACUGAUAUGGUUCUUUUGCAAACAGAAUUUAAAUUCAUGAUAGGAAAGUACAAGCUCUAAUGAAGAAAGUGCAGGUUUUGAUUGAAGACCUGGUUGAGAUUGUUCUGGAUCCUUUUGAUACAUAAUAGAUAUUAGAGGAGCUGAUAUUCUAAAUAUUUUCAUGAUGGUUCAGACUUCAGAGAUGGAUUGUUUAUGCUACAGUUGUAUCUAGCAGGCGCUUGUAAGCCUAGGAGUUCAUGACUGAAUAAAAGAUACAUGAUGGUGUCAUUUGUUUACAAAAUAAUAAAGAAUUUAUUCUGGGUUUUACGUCAAACUCAAACUGUAAGGAGUCUUGUAUUACUUAUUGAUCCCGCCACCAAAGUUUAUCCUAGAUGAGAAAAUAUUUUAUCAGAUCAAUUUUAUCUUCAAAUUUAAGGACUCGA
Rosa rugosa (rugosa rose) is the source of this 1345-nucleotide RNA transcript. It is a transcript of the gene named iron-sulfur cluster co-chaperone protein HscB homolog, with no coding region annotated. The record is from RefSeq and is a predicted model, not a curated record. The transcript is spliced from 8 exons. NCBI's taxonomy places the organism in Eukaryota, Viridiplantae, Streptophyta, Magnoliopsida, Rosales, Rosaceae.